GACGAACGCUGGCGGCGUGCUUAACACAUGCAAGUCGAACGUGAUUUUUGUGGAAAUCUUUCGGGAAUGGAAAUGAAAUGAAAGUGGCGAACGGGUGAGUAACACGUGAGCAACCUACCUUACACAGGGGGAUAGCCGUUGGAAACGACGAUUAAUACCGCAUGAGACCACAGAAUCGCAUGAUAUAGGGGUCAAAGAUUUAUCGGUGUAAGAAGGGCUCGCGUCUGAUUAGCUAGUUGGAAGGGUAAAGGCCUACCAAGGCGACGAUCAGUAGCCGGUCUGAGAGGAUGAACGGCCGCAUUGGAACUGAGACACGGUCCAAACUCCUACGGGAGGCAGCAGUGGGGAAUAUUGCACAAUGGGGGGAACCCUGAUGCAGCGACGCCGCGUGAGCGAAGAAGGUUUUCGAAUCGUAAAGCUCUGUCCUAUGAGAAGAUAAUGACGGUAUCAUAGGAGGAAGCCCCGGCUAAAUACGUGCCAGCAGCCGCGGUAAUACGUAUGGGGCGAGCGUUGUCCGGAAUUAUUGGGCGUAAAGGGUACGUAGGCGGUUUUUUAAGUCAGGUGUGAAAGCGUGAGGCUUAACCUCAUUAAGCACUUGAAACUGGAAGACUUGAGUGAAGGAGAGGAAAGUGGAAUUCCUAGUGUAGCGGUGAAAUGCGUAGAUAUUAGGAGGAAUACCGGUGGCGAAGGCGACUUUCUGGACUUUUACUGACGCUCAGGUACGAAAGCGUGGGGAGCAAACAGG
RNAcentral lists this ribosomal RNA (745 nucleotides) under uncultured Clostridium sp. RNAcentral's name for it is "bacterial SSU rRNA". It matches the Rfam family "Bacterial small subunit ribosomal RNA", at positions 28 to 776 of the family's 1533-position model. Lineage: Bacteria; Bacillati; Bacillota; Clostridia; Eubacteriales; Clostridiaceae. The record is from RNAcentral.